GACGAACGCUGGCGGCGUGCCUAAUACAUGCAAAUCGAACGAACCGCGACUGAGUGCUUGCACUUGGUCAAGGUGAGUGGCGAACGGGUGAGUAACACGUGGGUAACCUACCUCAUAGUGGGGGAUACCAGUCGGAACCGACUGCUAUUACCGCAUAGGACAUAGGAUCACAUCAUCCAGUGAUGAAAGCUGGCGCAAGCUAUCGCUACGAUAUGGACCCGCGUUGCAUUAGCUAGUUGGUAGGGUAAAGGCCUACCAAGGCGAUGAUGCAUAGCCGACCUGAGAGGAUGAUCGGCCACAUUGGGACUGAGACACGGCCCAAACUCCUACGGGAGGCAGCAGUAGGGAAUAUUCCGCAAUGGGAGCAAGUCUGACGGAGCAACGCCGCGUGAGUGAAGAAGGUCUUCGGAUCGUAAAGCUCUGUUGUUAGAGAAGAACAGCGGAUAGAGUAACUGCUAUGCGUGUGACGGUAUCUAACCAGAAAGCAACGGCUAACUACGUG
RNAcentral lists this ribosomal RNA (502 nucleotides) under uncultured bacterium. Its description in RNAcentral is "partial 16S ribosomal RNA". It matches the Rfam family "Bacterial small subunit ribosomal RNA", at positions 28 to 507 of the family's 1533-position model. The record is from RNAcentral.